Long non-coding RNA from Solanum stenotomum, 234 nucleotides. RefSeq lists it as uncharacterized. The transcript has 3 exons. NCBI's taxonomy places the organism in Eukaryota, Viridiplantae, Streptophyta, Magnoliopsida, Solanales, Solanaceae. The record is from RefSeq and is a predicted model, not a curated record.
UUUCGUGCUAGGCAACUGAGGAAGCUCAACAUCUAAAAAAGUUGAUACAAGACUAUAUUGCUUCUUUCAUCAAAGUAGGAGAUAAGGUUGGUGCUUCUAAAUUUCUAAAGUUCAAGUACAAUUUAGCUGAACAACAAAGCAUGAGUGAGACCGUUCAGCAAAUCAAAGAACAAGUGAUGAACCUCGCUCGUCGACCUACUACUUCAACUCCCGAUGACACCGACGACGAGAGUG